AAACACCAGAGCUUGCUCUACCGUUUAUGUUGAGUAGCGGGCGGGUGAGUAACGCGUGGGUAACCUACCUUAUAGCGGGGGAUAACUAUUGGAAACGAUAGCUAAUACCGCAUAACAAUGUUAGAUGCAUAUUUAACAUUUGAAAGUACCAAUUGGUACACUAUGAGAUGGACCCGCGUUGUAUUAGCUAGUUGGUAGUGUAAUGGACUACCAAGGCGAUGAUACAUAGCCGACCUGAGAGGGUGAUCGGCCACAUUGGGACUGAGACACGGCCCAAACUCCUACGGGAGGCAGCAGUAGGGAAUCUUCGGCAAUGGACGAAAGUCUGACCGAGCAACACCGCGUGAGUGAAGAAGGUUUUCGGAUCGUAAAACUCUGUUGUUAGAGAAGAACGUUGAUUAGAGUGGAAAAUUAAUCAAGUGACGGUAUCUAACCAGAAAGGGACGGCUAACUACGUGCCAGCAGCCGCGGUAAUACGUAGGUCCCGAGCGUUGUCCGGAUUUAUUGGGCGUAAAGCGAGCGCAGGUGGUUUAAUAAGUCUGAUGUAAAAGGCAGUGGCUCAACCAUUGUGUGCAUUGGAAACUGUUAGACUUGAGUGCAGUAGAGGAGAGUGGAAUUCCAUGUGUAGCGGUGAAAUGCGUAGAUAUAUGGAGGAACACCGGUGGCGAAAGCGGCUCUCUGGACUGUCACUGACACUGAGGCUCGAAAGCGUGGGUAGCAAACAGGAUUAGAUACCCUGGUAGUCCACGCCGUAAACGAUGAGUGCUAGUUGUUUGGGGCUAUCCAGCCCUAAGUGACGCAGCAAACGCAUUAAGCACUCCGCCUGGGGAGUACGACCGCAAGGUUGAAACUCAAAGGAAUUGACGGGGGCCCGCACAAGCGGUGGAGCAUGUGGUUUAAUUCGAAGCAACGCGAAGAACCUUACCAGGUCUUGACAUACUCGUGCUAUUCCUAGAGAUAGGAAGUUCCUUCGGGACACGGGAUACAGGUGGUGCAUGGUUGUCGUCAGCUCGUGUCGUGAGAUGUUGGGUUAAGUCCCGCAACGAGCGCAACCCUUAUUGUUAGCUGCCAUCAUUAAGUUGGGCACUCUAGCGAGACUGCCGGUAAUAAA
This 1111-nucleotide ribosomal RNA is filed under the name uncultured bacterium. Its description in RNAcentral is "bacterial SSU rRNA". It matches the Rfam family "Bacterial small subunit ribosomal RNA", at positions 69 to 1162 of the family's 1533-position model. The record is from RNAcentral.